AUGUACUAUAGCCGCGACCUCUUCAAGAAAUUGCAACUCCUCAAGCAAGGCACCAAGCCCAUUGAAGAGUAUUACAAGGAAAUGGAGAUUGCAAUGAUACGAGCUAAUGUCACGGAAGGUGAGGAGCAAACCAUGACAUGUUUCUUAAAUGGCCUCAACCAUCCUAUCAAGAAGAUCGCCGACUUCCAACCUUACUCUAACCUCCUAGAGCUAGUGCACCAAGCUACCAAGGCGGAGCGACAAGUGCAAGAUGACGACAAGUAUGCCAAGUACUCUUCCAAGGCCUACGGCUCCUACAAUCAAGCUUCAAUGACUAUGAUGCCUUCUCCCUCAAGGAAACCUACACCAAGCAACGGUGACAAGUCAAGUUACAAGAAAACUUUGACACCUUCAAGUCAUCCUCCUACUACAAGCAACUUCAAGCCGAGAGCUUCAUCAUCAACAACUCCACCGGUUGAGACCGUCAAGACAAGUUCCAUCAAAUUCUUCACAUAUCAAGGGCGAGGCCACAAGACAAUUGAGUGCCCCACUCGGCGCAUCAUGAUCACUAACGAUGACGACACCUAUGACUCGAUGAGUGAGGAAGAAACGGAAGCGCAUGAGCACAUGGCCAUGCAUCGACAUGUGAAUGAAGAUGAAGAUGACCAAGUCUUUUGUUACAAUGAUUCGAGCCCCGCUCUUGUUGUCUCCAAGGUCUUAACACUUCAACAUCAACAAGAUGAAUACCAACAUUGCCACAUCUUCCACACCAAAGCGGGCAUCAAUGGAUGUUCCGUGAAGGUCAUCAUCGACGGAGGAAGUUGCCACAGUUUGGCAAGUGAAGAACUAUGCGCCAAGUACAUUUUGUGA
RNAcentral lists this ribosomal RNA (849 nucleotides) under Triticum aestivum (bread wheat). Its description in RNAcentral is "partial small subunit ribosomal RNA". Lineage: Eukaryota; Viridiplantae; Streptophyta; Magnoliopsida; Poales; Poaceae. The record is from RNAcentral.